Molecule: non-coding RNA, 72 nt
Organism: Colias croceus (clouded yellow)
Lineage: Eukaryota; Metazoa; Arthropoda; Insecta; Lepidoptera; Pieridae
Source: the annotation of a RefSeq genome assembly
UCCUCGGUAGUACAACGGCCAGUAUUCCCGCCUGUCACGUGGGAGAUCGGGGUUCGAUUCCCCGCCGGGGAG